CCUACGGGAUGCAGCAGUGAGGAAUAUUGGUCAAUGGACGAGAGUCUGAACCAGCCAAGUAGCGUGAAGGAUGACUGCCCUACGGGUUGUAAACUUCUUUUAUCAAGGAAUAAAACGAGGCACGUGUGCCUCUUUGCAUGUACUUUAUGCAUAAGGAUCGGCUAACUCCGUGCCAGCAGCCGCGGUAAUACGGAGGAUCCGAGCGUUAUCCGGAUUUAUUGGGUGUAAAGGGAGCGUAGAGGGGUAGUCAAGUCAGUUGUGAAAGGUUGCGGCUCAACCGUAAGAGUGCAAUUGAUACUGGCAGACUUGAGUACAGUUGAGGUAGGCGGAAUUCGUGGUGUAGCGGUGAAAUGCUUAGAUAUCACGAAGAACCCCGGUUGCGAAGGCAGCUUACUAAACUGUGACUGACAUUGAUGCUCGAAAGUGUGGGUAUCAAACAGGAUUAGAUACCCUUGUAGUC
Molecule: ribosomal RNA, 460 nt
Filed under: uncultured bacterium
Lineage: Bacteria
Description: partial 16S ribosomal RNA
Rfam family: Bacterial small subunit ribosomal RNA
Source: RNAcentral